Molecule: ribosomal RNA, 743 nt
Filed under: uncultured bacterium
Lineage: Bacteria
Description: bacterial SSU rRNA
Rfam family: Bacterial small subunit ribosomal RNA
Source: RNAcentral
GUGGGGAGCAAAACAGGAUUAGAUACCCCUGGUAGUCCUCGCCGUAAACGAUGUCUACUUGGAGGUUGUGGCCUUGAGCCGUGGCUUUCGGAGCUAACGCGUUAAGUAGACCGCCUGGGGAGUACGGUCGCAAGAUUAAAACUCAAAUGAAUUGACGGGGGCCCGCACAAGCGGUGGAGCAUGUGGUUUAAUUCGAUGCAACGCGAAGAACCUUACCUACUCUUGACAUCUACAGAAGCCAGCGGAGACGCAGGUGUGCCUUCGGGAACUGUAAGACAGGUGCUGCAUGGCUGUCGUCAGCUCGUGUUGUGAAAUGUUGGGUUAAGUCCCGCAACGAGCGCAACCCUUAUCCUUGUUUGCCAGCACUUCGGGUGGGAACUCCAGGGAGACUGCCGGUGAUAAACCGGAGGAAGGUGGGGACGACGUCAAGUCAUCAUGGCCCUUACGAGUAGGGCUACACACGUGCUACAAUGGCGCAUACAGAGGGCGGCCAACUUGCGAAAGUGAGCGAAUCCCAAAAAGUGCGUCGUAGUCCGGAUUGGAGUCUGCAACUCGACUCCAUGAAGUCGGAAUCGCUAGUAAUCGUGGAUCAGAAUGCCACGGUGAAUACGUUCCCGGGCCUUGUACACACCGCCCGUCACACCAUGGGAGUGGGCUGCAAAAGAAGUGGGUAGUUUAACCUUCGGGAGGACGCUCACCACUUUGUGGUUCAUGACUGGGGGGAAGUCGUAACAAGGUAACCG